GAUGAAGGAACGCAGCGAAAUGCGAUAAGUAAUGCGAAUUGCAGAAUUCCAGUGAGUCAUCGAAUCUUUGAACGCACAUUGCGCCCUUUGGUAUUCCGAAGGGCAUGCCUGUUCGAGCGUCAUUAUCACCCCUCAAGCCCUCGGCUUGGUGUUGGACGGUUUGGUGGAGGCCCCCUCGGGGGCUCCUGCCCCUCCCAAAGACAAUGACGGCGGCCUCGUUGGACCCCCGGUACACUGAGUUCUUCACGGGACACGUAUCGGACACAUGGGUUUACGGGACACGGUCUGCCUCCCCUCAGGGAGAAUCUUUCUAAGGUUGACCUCGGAUCAGGUAGGGAUACCCGCUGAACUUAAGCAUAUCAAUAAGCGGAGGA
Molecule: unclassified non-coding RNA, 374 nt
Filed under: soil metagenome
Description: partial contains 5.8S ribosomal RNA, internal transcribed spacer 2, and large subunit ribosomal RNA
Rfam family: 5.8S ribosomal RNA (bases 1-122)
Source: RNAcentral